AGUAAAGUCGUAACAAGGCUUCCGUAGGUGAACCUGCGAAGGAUCAUUAUAAUGGUCUACGUUUUUUAAGUAGACGCUUAAUAAUCCUACCCUUUGUGAAUUUGUUGUUUUGAAAUAAUUUUUUUUAAAAUUAUUGAUUGUCUUUCCUGUUGAAUUGGUUGUCUUAAUGCAAUGAUUCGCAGGGAGUGUCAGUAUUUUUAAAAGACCUUUUUUAAAAUUAACUUUUGUAUUCAUUUGUCUAAAUUAUUUUAUAAUAUAAAAAACUUUUGACAAUGGAUCUCUUGGUUCUCGCAACGAUGAAGAACGCAGCAAAAUGCGAUAAGUAGUGUGAAUGCAGAAUACGUGAAUCAUCGAAUCUUCGAACGCAUAUGCACUUUUUAGUUACUAAAAAGUAUGUCUGUUUGAGUAUCAGUAAAUAUUCUCAUAAAACUUUUGUUUUAUGUUAUGAGUGUUUUACAACGAUACAAGUGUUUCACUUUAAAUUUUUUUAAAAUUUGAAUUUUCUAAUUUUAAAUAAAUUGGAUAAAAUUUCUCGUAAAAAGGAAUAACUAAAACAAUUUAAUUUUUGAUUAGAAUCUUCAAUUAUAAGGAAAUUUAACUAAAUAACUUGAUCUCAAAUCAGAUAAGAGUACCCGCUGAACUUAAGCAUAUCAAUAACGGAGGAAAGAAACUAACAAGGAUUCCUUAGUAACGGCGAGUGAAGCGGAAGAGCUCAAAUUGAAAUCUUCAAGGUUUACCUUGACGAAUUGUAGUUUAAAGAAGUGUUUUCUGUUGAAGUUUGGUAAAAGUUCUUUGGAUAGGACAUCAUAGAGGUGAGAUCCCGUAUUGACCAUUAUUUCAGCUGUGUGAUACACUUUCAAGAGUCGAUUGUUUGGAAUGCAGUCCAAAUGGUGGUAAAUUUCAUCUAAAGCUAAAUAUUGCGAGAGACCGAUAGCGAACAAGUACGUGAGGGAAAGAUGAAAGAACUUGAAAAGAGUAAACAGUACGUGAAAUUGUCAAAAGGAAGCGUUUGACACAGUGUUGUUUUCUCGAAAAUCAAUUAAAAAAGUUGGAUUUUGUGGUGUAUUGACCUAACAGCUUGCUUCACUCUUUUCUUGCUUUUUUAAUGCACUUUUCGUUUAACAAGUCAACAUCAGUUUCUUUGUUGUAAAGGUCAUUGGAAGGUGGCUUCUCUUCGGAGAAAGUGUUUAUAGCCUUGAUCUCUGCAAUCGGAGAGUCUGAGUCUGCAGCGUAGAUCCUUCGGGUUAGAUACAUUUGUGCUAAGCUACAGCUUUCAUAGACAACUUGUUGACUAUGUUUAGUCUUGUAACUUACCCGCUUAUGCUAUUUACCUACGCUUAGGAUGUUG
RNAcentral lists this unclassified non-coding RNA (1348 nucleotides) under uncultured Neocallimastigales. Its description in RNAcentral is "partial contains small subunit ribosomal RNA, internal transcribed spacer 1, 5.8S ribosomal RNA, internal transcribed spacer 2, and large subunit ribosomal RNA". The stretch from base 609 to 1348 matches the Rfam family "Eukaryotic large subunit ribosomal RNA", at positions 1 to 628 of the family's 3401-position model. The record is from RNAcentral. Lineage: Eukaryota; Fungi; Neocallimastigomycota; Neocallimastigomycetes; Neocallimastigales.